This 341-nucleotide ribosomal RNA is filed under the name uncultured bacterium. RNAcentral describes it as "bacterial SSU rRNA". It matches the Rfam family "Bacterial small subunit ribosomal RNA", at positions 50 to 384 of the family's 1533-position model. The record is from RNAcentral.
UUCACUAGUGAUUAACGCGAAAGCCCCGAAGGGGCCAGUAGAGUGGCAAACGGGUGAGUAACGCGUGGUGACCUACCUUCGAGUGGGGGAUAACCUUCCGAAAGGAGGCUAAUACCGCAUGACAUCCCGUGUUUAGAUACACGGACAUGAAAGCUGGGGAUCGCAAGAUCUGGGCUUGAAGAGGGGCCUGCGUCCGAUUAGCUAAUUGGUGGGGUAACGGCCCACCAAGGCUUCGAUCGGUAUCCGGCCUGAGAGGGCGGACGGACACACUGGAACUGAGACACGGUCCAGACUCCUACGGGAGGCAGCAGUAGGGAAUUGUUCGCAAUGGGCGCAAUUGU